CGGUUUGUCGCGUCUGCUGUGAAAACCUCAGGCUCAACCUGGGGCUUGCAGUGGGUACGGGCAGACUAGAGUGCGGUAGGGGUGACUGGAAUUCCUGGUGUAGCGGUGGAAUGCGCAGAUAUCAGGAGGAACACCGAUGGCGAAGGCAGGUCACUGGGCCGCAACUGACGCUGAGGAGCGAAAGCAUGGGGAGCGAACAGGAUUAGAUACCCUGGUAGUCCAUGCCGUAAACGUUGGGCACUAGGUGUGGGGUCCAUUCCACGGAUUCCGUGCCGCAGCAAACGCAUUAAGUGCCCCGCCUGGGGAGUACGGCCGCAAGGCUAAAACUCAAAGAAAUUGACGGGGGCCCGCACAAGCGGCGGAGCAUGCGGAUUAAUUCGAUGCAACGCGAAGAACCUUACCAAGGCUUGACAUACACCGGAAACGUGCAGAGAUGUGCGCCCCGCAAGGUCGGUGUACAGGUGGUGCAUGGUUGUCGUCAGCUCGUGUCGUGAGAUGUUGGGUUAAGUCCCGCAACGAGCGCAACCCUCGUCCCAUGUUGCCAGCGGGUUAUGCCGGGGACUCAUGGGAGACUGCCGGGGUCAACUCGGAGGAAGGUGGGGAUGACGUCAAAUCAUCAUGCCCCUUAUGUCUUGGGCUUCACGCAUGCUACAAUGGCCGGUACAAAGGGCUGCGAUACCGCGAGGUGGAGCGAA
Molecule: ribosomal RNA, 695 nt
Filed under: Cellulomonas sp. XYL_261
Lineage: Bacteria; Bacillati; Actinomycetota; Actinomycetes; Micrococcales; Cellulomonadaceae
Description: bacterial SSU rRNA
Rfam family: Bacterial small subunit ribosomal RNA
Source: RNAcentral